This 498-nucleotide ribosomal RNA is filed under the name uncultured bacterium. RNAcentral's name for it is "partial 16S ribosomal RNA". It matches the Rfam family "Bacterial small subunit ribosomal RNA", at positions 28 to 523 of the family's 1533-position model. The record is from RNAcentral.
GUUGAACGCUGGCGGCAUGCCUUACACAUGCAAGUCGAACGGUAACAGGUCUUCGGAUGCUGACGAGUGGCGAACGGGUGAGUAAUACAUCGGAACGUGCCUAGUAGUGGGGGAUAACUACUCGAAAGAGUGGCUAAUACCGCAUGAGAUCUACGGAUGAAAGCAGGGGAUCGCAAGACCUUGUGCUACUAGAGCGGCCGAUGGCAGAUUAGGUAGUUGGUGGGAUAAAAGCUUACCAAGCCGACGAUCUGUAGCUGGUCUGAGAGGACGAUCAGCCACACUGGGACUGCGACACGGCCCAGACUCCUACGGGAGUCAGAAGUGGGGAAUUUUGGACAAGGGGCGAAAGCCUGAUCCAGCAAUGCCGCGUGCAGGAUGAAGGCCUUCGGGUUGUAAACUGCUUUUGUACGGAACGAAAAGCCCCGGGUUAAUACCCUGGGGUCACGACGUUACCGUAAGAAUAAGCACCGGCUAACUACGUGCCAGCAGCCGCCGUAA